UUUUAUUUGAGAGUUUGAUCCUGGCUCAGGAUGAACGCUGGCGGCGUGCCUAACACAUGCAAGUUGAGCGAUUUACUUCGGUAAAGAGCGGCGGACGGGUGAGUAACGCGUGGGUAACCUACCCUGUACACACGGAUAACAUACCGAAAGGUAUGCUAAUACGGGAUAAUAUAUUUGAGAGGCAUCUCUUGAAUAUCAAAGGUGAGCCAGUACAGGAUGGACCCGCGUCUGAUUAGCUAGUUGGUAAGGUAACGGCUUACCAAGGCGACGAUCAGUAGCCGACCUGAGAGGGUGAUCGGCCACAUUGGAACUGAGACACGGUCCAAACUCCUACGGGAGGCAGCAGUGGGGAAUAUUGCACAAUGGGCGAAAGCCUGAUGCAGCAACGCCGCGUGAGUGAUGAAGGCCUUCGGGUCGUAAAACUCUGUCCUCAAGGAAGAUAAUGACGGUACUUGAGGAGGAAGCCCCGGCUAACUACGUGCCAGCAGCCGCGGUAAUACGUAGGGGGCUAGCGUUAUCCGGAUUUACUGGGCGUAAAGGGUGCGUAGGCGGUCUUUCAAGUCAGGAGUGAAAGGCUACGGCUCAACCGUAGUAAGCUCUUGAAAC
This 606-nucleotide ribosomal RNA is filed under the name Clostridioides difficile. RNAcentral's name for it is "bacterial SSU rRNA". It matches the Rfam family "Bacterial small subunit ribosomal RNA", at positions 1 to 633 of the family's 1533-position model. The record is from RNAcentral. Lineage: Bacteria; Bacillati; Bacillota; Clostridia; Peptostreptococcales; Peptostreptococcaceae.